Non-coding RNA from Microcebus murinus (gray mouse lemur), 3889 nucleotides. Lineage: Eukaryota; Metazoa; Chordata; Mammalia; Primates; Cheirogaleidae. The record is from RefSeq and is a predicted model, not a curated record.
AUACUUAAAUACCUCAAAGUUUCCUGAUUUUCUGGGAAGGCCUGGUUUCCCCCAAAGAGGCGAUUUCUGGUAGAAAUCUGAGAGUCCUCUAAUAAAAAAGAAAUCCAGUAUAGCCAAUGAAUUAAGGACAAGAAGGUUUCCAAUCAGUCCCUGCUAUGUGGAUAUUUGUUAGCAAUGACUGAUGUGGAAACUACAUAUGCAGAUUUUAUUGCUUCGGGAAGAACCGGUAGAAGAAAUGCAAUACAUGAUAUCCUGGUUUCCUCUGCAAGUGGCAACAGCAAUGAAUUAGCCUUGAAAUUAGCAGGUCUUGAUAUCAACAAGACAGAAGGUGAAGAAGAUGCACAGCGGAGUUCGACAGAACAAAGUGGGGAAGCCCAGGGAGAAGCAGCAAAAUCUGAAAGCUAACAUCCCACCUUGACCUUCAACAACACCUGAUGAUGUCUCAAAUCUCCAGGCGUGGCUGGAAUGCUUUUGUUUCCAUGAGUGAAAAGGGGGAAAGGAAAAUGGCUGUGCUGCAUCGCAGGAACCUGCCCGUUAUGUUAAAAAUGGGGGCAGAGGCUGUGGCUACAGACAGACUUUUCUCUACCUCUGUCAUUAGCAAUGGUUGAAAUCAUGUGGCCUGUGCUUGGAUGUCAUUUUUGUUUGGAUCCUUUCACAUGACCAUAUGAUGAAAUGCUUGUAGAGAGUAGCACUGACCUAGAUGAUGAUUCUUCCUGUAGCAUCUGGCCCUCACAAUGUCAGAGGAUUUAAUUGUGUCUAAUUGCGGAGGGUUGGUUGAACCCCAGAGUUUAAAUAUCUCUGGCUCAAGUAUUCACCCAGUAAAAGAACCAUCCAGAAAGCACUGUUUUUAGCUUUGUGUACCUGUGUGUUGCUGCUGUGUUAUUUACACUGUUUUGUAUUGUACAAUAUAGAUGCUCAGCACUGCCCCCCUUCUCGGAUUGCUUACGAAAAACAAAAAUGAUGUACAUUACUGUGAAUUUUUAUACCACUCAUUUUUAAAAGGGCUGUCUUGUUUUUAAUUUUCCAUAGUGUGGUGGUGUACACAAGAUAGAACACACUUCUUAAAUGUAAUCUUUCCCAUCGAUCACUAUAUGUUGAUGAAUGAAGUCUAACAAAUUCAUCAAGACUUCUUUGCUUUAUUAUACAGCCAUUCGAAAAUAUCCAUUAAUGUGAAUAUUACCUGAAUUCGGUCUGUUUGGUGUCUGCACAGACCAGAAUUCAAUCUGUCAAUUUUGUUUUAUUCCCAAGUGGACAACUUCUCCCAACUAAUAUUUUUGUUUUUAAUUAUGAGAAUUUUGGAGAAUUAGGAAGGUAAAAAAGAAAAGCCAAGAUAAUACUAAGAACUAGAAAUAUCUUGUACUAUGGAAUCAAAUUUCUCACAAUGCUAUAUGCUACUAUUUAAAUUUGGAGGGCAGCAUACCUUCCCAGGAGGUAUUUUUCAGGCUGAAAAGAUGGAGAUAGUGAUCACCUUGCAAUCAUGUGGACACCAAUCACAAAAGUAAAGCCCUUGUGUUGUGUUUUUCAUGUCUAUUUUCAGCCCUAUGAGAUCUAAAUGUUAUUAUGCAUUUUUUAAUGUUUGUAAACUUUUACUAAUAAUUAGUGUGAAUUGCAUUCUGAUACAAUAAUUAUCAUCAUUAGAAGCUAACAAAAUCCUCAUUAAUAUGGUGUUUGAUGGCCUCUGCUGUGUUUUGACAUCAUGGUUCUUAUAUGGAAAGUUUUUGUGAGUUGUGUAAUCCCUCCGGUCAGUAUUAUGAAAUCAUUUGUCAGUGGUAAUAAAUAAGGAACCAGUAAUAUGCCAGUGGUUCAUGAAUUACUGGACAAAUAGCGGACAACAGGAAGUCUCUACAAUAAAGAGCCCACUUAGCUGUCCUUGAGGGCUUUGAUAGAGUCCCGGGUGAAAUAAGUAGAGCCAGAAUUUCAACAGGCAAUCUAUGUGGUUAUACCAGGAACUAAGUAAGCCCUUCUUUGUAUUAAUAAUUCCAUAUUGGAUGAAAGGUAAGUCUGCUCACAUCUCCCUUUACAAAACUUUUCAACUGACCGGGAUAAGGGCAUGGGUCUCAUUUAGCCCUCAAUGAGAUAUUACUAGAAGAAAAUGUUAACCAUGUGAGUCUUUCCGAGAACAGAAAGAGGAAAUAUUAGAUUUUGGAGUGCUUCUUUCUACCUGAGCCAUCAGGGGUCAAAAAUCUCCAGUUAAAAUUCAAACAAAUCACCCAUUAGUAGAUUCACAAGUAUAAAAGAGGUCCCUGGGGCUAUUUUAGAUAAAUCCCUGGUAGUCUGUUUUUAAACAUCCAACCCCUGUGAUCAGUUUUCAGUAUCCUCAUUUACUAUCUUCUUAGCUUUCGUGUGAAUCUAAAGCUCUCUUCUUUCCUAAAGUUGUGGAAUUCUAAACUGAUUUUAUGUGAUUUUGUAAAGUUUAGAACCAGUGCUGAGUAUAUGUGGGGGUUUAUAUUCAUAUGUGAUACACUAUUAUUAAUGCAUGUGGUACCAUGCUUGUCUUUGAAUAUGUAAAUAGUGCUAAAUUACAAAGUCAUAUGGAGCUUUUGGUUUAGUUUGGCCUCUUACUGCUACCUUGUCUGCUAUAUUCAAACCGAGAGGCAUUCCCAAGCUGGGAAUCGCUUGUGGAAUAUAGGAUGUGGACUUCCCAAAAUGUCCACAUCUUAUAAAUUUUGCUUUUCAAGAGGUCACAGUUCUUUCAAAUUUUACUGUAAUAACUUUUAUUUGUAAAUCAAUAAUAUGAAUGAAUCUGAAUGUUUAAGAAGAGAAGGAAAGGGUAGGAAAUCCAAGACUUGGUUUGAUAAUAGACACUGGAUGCCUAUUAACCAACUACCCCUGUGCUAAUCACCUCAUAGCACAUAUUCUACCAUUCAAUCCUCAAACAAUUCAAUUACAGUGGUAUCUUUAUACCAUUUUACAGAUUAUGAAAUCAGCACCCAAAACGGCAUAACUUUUCCAAGAUUAAAAAGCUAAUAAGUAAUGAAUUUAGGAUUUGCACUUAUGUUUGUUUGUCUCCAAGAAGCUUUCUACCGUGCAUAUCAUAAAAUUAAAGCCAAUUGCAGAACUAACUGUAAGGGAACUUCUAGAAAUGGAUUUGUUCAGCCUCAAUAUUUUAGAGAAAGAAACUAAAUCCCAGAAAAGGAAAUUGCCUUUCUCAAGGUUGCCUAUAUGGGUAAUAACAUAGAUGAAACUAGAUCAUAAAAAAAUGUAGUAGUUUUCUUAAAAAAGAAAUUCAAUUAUAACUUACUGGAGGAGAGGAGUAUUUGUCCCAGAAGAUAUUUUUCUGGCAUAUGGUCUGUAAACUUAGCAUGAUUCAUAUUUUUUUUAUGUUUCAUGCUACUUAUUUUGUUUAAUUGCAUAGAAACAUUAAGAUUUCAGUUUCUUGACUCAUUUGCAACAAGCGUGAAAUUGUCAAGUUUAUCUUUUGUCAAUUGUAAGCAUCCUAUGCCAUCAUUUUGUUAUCAUAAAUUCACAGAAAUAUUUUUCCAGUAGGUAACAGACAUUGCAAUCCAAUUCUUAGGCGAUACUUCCAGAACAGGCCGCUGUAAAUGCCCUAUACUUGAGUCUCACUCAGACACAGUGGCAACGCGCCAUGUUAGGAGAUGAACAAUAUUGCAGUUUCUCUUUGGAGAAACAAUAAUGGGUGAAGACAUGUAACUGCCAGGCAGCAAAGCUUCUGAGUGAACUCUGUAGUAGUAGAGAGAAAAUGUAUAGUCAUCAAGUGAAAAUAGGAAAGGAUCUAUGAUUUAUGAUGUCUUAUUAGUCCCUAAAUUAUGCUUUAAUUGCAAGAGUGGCAGUCUCUGAAGUCAUUUGUGAGCUUGUAUGACUUUUGUAUUUAGCAAUGUUGCAUGCUCACAUAAUUGGUAUUAAAAGUAACACAUUUUUCUGAAAUGUA